This 436-nucleotide long non-coding RNA is filed under the name Olea europaea subsp. europaea. The record is from RNAcentral. Lineage: Eukaryota; Viridiplantae; Streptophyta; Magnoliopsida; Lamiales; Oleaceae.
GAUUUCCUAUCUUUUCUUGUUAUGAAGAUGCCACUUAAGGCCACUGAGAGAGAUGUUUACGAGUUCUUUUCACAAGCAGGAAAGGUAUGUGAGGAUUUUGAAAUCAUUAAAGUGUUUAAAAUGCUACCUUUUCUUUAUUAUUCACAAGUGUAUAAUCAUUUCGAGGCAUAUAAUCACUGUACUAAUGUAGAAUGCAUAUUCUGCUGUACAGAAUUUCCUGAUUAUUAUUAAUUGUUAUUGUAAGUCAUCACUUCUUGAUUAUAUCUUUCUUAUCAGCCGAUUAUUAGGAAUCGACACUGUAAGUUGUUACUUCUUAAUUAUAGUUUUCUUAUCAAAAUGCAUCUCCUUCCUAUUGUUGUAAAUGCACAUCCACUUCAUUUACAAUUUGUGUAAAUGCUUUCUUGGGUAUUUACUGUUGACCUACAGUUGACUUCUC